AGUAACACGUAAGCAACCUGCCUAUCAGAGGGGAAUAACAAUGAGAAAUCAUUGCUAAUACCGCAUAACUUAUUUCAACUGCAUGGUAGAAAUAAGAAAGGAGCAAUCCGCUGAUAGAUGGGCUUGCGUCUGAUUAGAUAGUUGGUGGGGUAAAGGCCUACCAAGUCGACGAUCAGUAGCCGGACUGAGAGGUUGAACGGCCACAUUGGGACUGAGAUACGGCCCAGACUCCUACGGAAGGCAGCAG
Molecule: ribosomal RNA, 247 nt
Filed under: uncultured bacterium
Lineage: Bacteria
Description: partial 16S ribosomal RNA
Rfam family: Bacterial small subunit ribosomal RNA
Source: RNAcentral